UUGGAUAACCAUAUUUUUGCACCAUAGAUCCAACCUUCUUAAUCCAAAUUCGGUGUCAAUCUUUGUUAAUUCCAAACCUAAACCCUAACCCGCAAUCUAAGAUGAAUUGAAGCCUCUAAGGUUAGGGCUUGGAUUACUCCCGUCGGGCCCUACACGGGGUACCUAAAGAACUAUGCGAUAAUGAAGAUGAAGGCGACGACGAAGCUUCGAUGCUCAGAAAGUUGGAGAUGAAAUUCCCGGUGGUAGUUCGAUUCUCAAUCUCUCCUGAAAACUUCUCCGGCGAGGACGUGGUUGCGAUGCGAUUGAUUGAAGAAGGCGAAGAUGGAAUGCUGCUGAUCAGACAUGUUGGUAUGGCAAAGCAAAUGGGCCAUGUUAAUUUCUGGUUUGUUUGGAGACGUUGAAAACGAAUGUGGUAGCGGAAAGCCUUGUCAUGAUGUGUGUUGCAGGCUGGCUUGUGAUGCAUUGCUGCCUCGCAGGCUGUUGAUACUACCUAUGUUGUGUGUGUCGUUGUUGUUGCUUCACUUCUUGACUAGUCACACUAGAACCUGAAUUUCUGCCGAACCCAGGUUGUGGCAGAUGAUGUUUCUGCUGAGAUGUCAUCGGAGUCAAAGGAGAUGAUGGUGUUGCAGGUGAAACAAAUACUUACUGAGAUGAAUUUUGUGGUUGAAUCCAACUUGCAGGGACUGUGACGAUGAACGAACGGCGGGUUAUACUCCUUAUACAACAACCUAUGUUCUCCGUCUCUCGACAUGGAUGAGAGGAAGAUAUAGAUCAUCAAGACCAAUAUCAAAGUCAGCCUUGCAGUAUAUCCGAAACGAGUUCAGUAUCAACUUUAGUUUUCUCCUAUGGUGUUGUGAGCUUCUCGGAAUUUUUCAAACCUUCGACGCAAUAGCCAAUAUCAGGUAUGUAUCUCACUGUUGCGGUCGAUACCACGCUGCCGACUCAAGCAAAGGAUAGAGAGAAUGCACUCCUUGUGCAAUCGGUCUUCAAAUUACCGGAAGUCUGGAGAGGUGGUGAACAAUGCUACGAUCGAUUCGCGGUUGAACUCGAUCUAGAAAUGCUUUGCAAGUUCAUCUUCGCCAUGAAUGAACUCAUCCUCUUGCUCAGAGUUUCUGCCAAAGCCAAUAGAUGUUGCAUCUGGUUGCCGCUUAUUGUCAACAAAAUCUUACCCACAACCGACCAGGCAGCACAAGCAACAAUAUGUUCAGGAGAUAUGGCAUGGGAAGCUACUAUGGAUAACAUAUACUUCUAGUGUAUUCUUGGGAUCAUAUAUUGUAUGCAUACAUAAUUAGAUUUCCUGACGUUAUAAAUGCAAAAGCCUUUGAACCUUCUAAGACGACAAUGCUUUUUUCUUUUAGACUGAAGCGGUAAAUGUAUAUAUCAGUGACUGUUAUUGAUCCAUACGAAAGACACCUCCGAGUUGGUGUAAAUUUUCAUA
This is a long non-coding RNA of Lathyrus oleraceus (garden pea), 1438 nucleotides long. RefSeq lists it as uncharacterized. NCBI's taxonomy places the organism in Eukaryota, Viridiplantae, Streptophyta, Magnoliopsida, Fabales, Fabaceae. The transcript is spliced from 3 exons. The record is from RefSeq and is a predicted model, not a curated record.